CUAGAUGGAUACAAUGUGUGCAUCUUUGCAUACGGACAAAUAGGAACUGGGAAGACCUUCACCAUGGAAGGGACUGAAAGGAACAGAGGAGUAAACUAUAGAACUCUGGAGGAGUUGUUCAAGAUUGCCGAGGAGAGAAAAGACACUGUCACGUACAACAUAUCUGUUAGUGUGCUUGAGGUGUACAAUGAACAAAUCAGAGACCUCCUUGCAACAUCCCCUUCAUCUAAGAAGUUGGAGAUCAAACAAGCAGGUGAAGGAUCCCAUCAUGUGCCCGGCAUAGUUGAGGCCAAAGUUGAGGACAUAAAUGAAGUUUGGGAUGUCUUACAAACUAGAAGCAAUUCGAGGGCUACAGGGUCAAACAAUGUGAAUGAACACAGCAGUCGCUCACACUGCAUGCUUUGUAUCAUGGUUAGAGCAAAGAACCUGAUAAAUGGGGGCUGUACAACAAGUAAGCUCUGGUUAGUAGAUCUUGCUGGAAGCGAGCGGUUAGCCAAGACAGACGCGCAAGGUGGUCGGCUCAAGGAAGCACAAAAUAUCAACAGGUCGCUUUCUGCUUUAGGCGAUGUCAUUUAUGCUCUUGCUUCCAGAAGCAGCCGCAUUCCUUACAGGAAUUCCAAAUUGACGCACUUGCUCCAAGACUCUUUAGGAGGCGAUUCGAAAGUUGUAAUGUUUGUGCAAAUUAGCCCAUCCGACAACGACGCGUCGGAAACCUUGAGUUCGUUGAACUUUGCUAGCCAUGUCCGUGGUAUAGAACUGGGCCCAGCAAAGAAGCAGGUCGACACAGCCGAGCUUCAAAAGGUCAAACAGAUGCUUGAAAGGUCUAAGCAGGAAGCCAAGCUAAAGGAGGAAUCUUUGAGAAAGCUGGAAGAGAAGUGUCAAAAUUUAGAGAAUAAAGCCAAGGGAAAAGAGCAGCUUUACAAAAACUUGCAAGACAAGGUGAAGGAGCUUGAAAGCCAAUUAGACUCUAAGAUGCAUUCUCAGAUUACGUCAGAAAAGCACCAGAAUCAGCUUUCUGGAAAACUG
This 1026-nucleotide ribosomal RNA is filed under the name Triticum aestivum (bread wheat). RNAcentral describes it as "partial small subunit ribosomal RNA". The record is from RNAcentral. Lineage: Eukaryota; Viridiplantae; Streptophyta; Magnoliopsida; Poales; Poaceae.